RNAcentral lists this non-coding RNA (29 nucleotides) under Rattus norvegicus (Norway rat). The record is from RNAcentral. Lineage: Eukaryota; Metazoa; Chordata; Mammalia; Rodentia; Muridae.
UGCCAGGACACCAGCAGCAUCCAAAAAAA